GGCGCACGUGGUAGGGGAGCGUUCUGUAGGCUGAUGAAGGUGCAUUGAGAAGUGUGCUGGAGGUAUCAGAAGUGCGAAUGCUGACAUGAGUAACGAUAAUGUGGGUGAAAAGCCCACACGCCGGAAGUCCCAGGUUUCCUGCACGACGUUAAUCGGAGCAGGGUGAGUCGGCCCCUAAGGCGAGGCUGAAGAGCGUAGUCGAUGGGAACCAGGUUAAUAUUCCUGGACUUUUUAUAAGUGGUGAAGUGGGGACGAAGAAGGCUAGGUGAGCCAGGCGUUGGUUGUCCUGGUACUUGCAUGUAGGGGGGAAGACUUGGCAAAUCCGGUUUUCCAUAACUCUGAGGUGCGAAGUGGUUCUGACCUUUUGGUACAGAGAAGUCAUUGAUGCCCGGCUUCCAGGAAAAGCUGCUAGCCAUAACUUAUAGAGAACCGUACCGCAAACCGACACAGGUGGACAGGUAGAGAAUACUAAGGCGCUUGAGAGAACUCGGGUGAAGGAACUAGGCAAAAUGGUACCGUAACUUCGGGAGAAGGUACGCCCUUUUGGGUGAGGGCAUUUACUGUCUGAGCUUAAGAGGGCCGCAGAGACCAGGUGGCUGCGACUGUUUAUUAAAAACACAGCACUCUGCAAAUUCGUAAGAAGACGUAUAGGGUGUGACGCCUGCCCGGUGCCGGAAGGUUAAUUGAUGGGGUUAUCUUCGGAGAAGCUCUUGAUCGAAGCCCCGGUAAACGGCGGCCGUAACUAUAACGGUCCUAAGGUAGCGAAAUUCCUUGUCGGGUAAGUUCCGACCUGCACGAAUGGCGUAACGAUGGCCACACUGUCUCCACCCGAGACUCAGUGAAAUUGAAAUCGCUGUGAAGAUGCAGUGUACCCGCGGCUAGACGGAAAGACCCCGUGAACCUUUACUAUAGUUUUGCACUGGACUUUGAUGAUGACUGUGUAGGAUAGGUGGGAGGCUGUGAAGUGAGGACGCUAGUUCUCAUGGAGCCGCCCUUGAAAUACCACCCUGUUGUUAUUGAGGUUCUAACUUGGUCCAGUAAUCCUGGAUGAGGACAGUGUAUGAUGGGUAGUUUGACUGGGGCGGUCUCCUCCCAAAGAGUAACGGAGGAGCACAAAGGUACCCUCGGUACGGUCGGACAUCGUACCAAGAGUGUAAAGGCAAAAGGGUGCUUGACUGCGAGAGUGACGGCUCGAGCAGGAACGAAAGUUGGUCUUAGUGAUCCGGUGGUUCUGAAUGGAAGGGCCAUCGCUCAACGGAUAAAAGGUACUCCGGGGAUAACAGGCUGAUACCGCCCAAGAGUUCAUAUCGACGGCGGUGUUUGGCACCUCGAUGUCGGCUCAUCACAUCCUGGGGCUGAAGCAGGUCCCAAGGGUAUGGCUGUUCGCCAUUUAAAGUGGUACGCGAGCUGGGUUUAGAACGUCGUGAGACAGUUCGGUCCCUAUCUGCCGUGGGCGUAGGAAAAUUGAGAGGAGCUGCUCCUAGUACGAGAGGACCGGAGUGGACGAACCUCUGGUGCACCGGUUGUCACGCCAGUGGCAUGGCCGGGUAGCUAAGUUCGGACGGGAUAACCGCUGAAAGCAUCUAAGCGGGAAGCCUCCCUCAAGAUGAGUUUUCCCAUGAAGCCCGUUGAAGACUACGACGUUGAUAGGCAAGGUGUGGAAGCGCAGUAAUGCGUGAAGCUAACUUGUACUAAUUGGCUGAUUG
RNAcentral lists this ribosomal RNA (1706 nucleotides) under Legionella pneumophila. RNAcentral describes it as "partial 23S ribosomal RNA". It matches the Rfam family "Bacterial large subunit ribosomal RNA", at positions 1218 to 2915 of the family's 2925-position model. The record is from RNAcentral. Lineage: Bacteria; Pseudomonadati; Pseudomonadota; Gammaproteobacteria; Legionellales; Legionellaceae.